GAAGCUCUUGAAAAUGUUGGUCUUUCAGCCACUGUAAAUGCAGUAAACAGUGUAUAUUAUAUAAUCAUUGUUUUAUUUUCUGAUAAUUAUCACUCACUUUAGGUUAGGAGUUACUUCCUUUAUGUUUUAAGUACUGACUUCAACAAUUUCACUGCUCAUCAUGUGGUCAAGACCAGAGGAGCUUACCUUGUAAGGGUAUAACUGGUACCACCAUAUCAUGGCUUUUGGAAAUCAUGUUCUUGAACAUGCCCCAUGAAACAGGCUAGUAGAGACCGUCUCCUAUACCUCAUUGCUGAAGUUGCAGGAGAUCAACAACAGAAGACUCGGUUUAUGAAAACCAGAGUUGAGCAAUCAGUUGCAGCAAAUAAACGUUUAACAGUGAUAAUUCAUGGAUGAAAGAUCAUUGAAAAUGAGAUGGAACAGAGGAUGAAAUAAAAUGAGAUUGGUCAUGAGGCGAAUCAUGUUUUGCAGAUAUUAGAAGAGUAGAAACAGUAUCCAACUAGAGAAUACAAAUCCGUUAGUCCACCAAACCCAUAAUAAUAGUAUUAUAGCAGGGAACUUAAACUGUUCCCAUACAGAAAAAAAUGUACAUAUUGUUACACAGUCUGCAUCUAAUAUUGAUUUUCUUUAAAAUUCUUAUCAGAAUCGCAUGGCCUAAAAGAAAAUCCUGUUACUGAUUAUGAAUAAACGAAAUUAGGUCAUGUUUUGUUUCCACUGGAUCACAAAUUUAAUAUUUUCAUAUAGAAUCCUAGAAACUGCACAAACAAGAAAAUUAAAAAUUAAAAAUUAAAA
RNAcentral lists this unclassified non-coding RNA (792 nucleotides) under Hevea brasiliensis (rubber tree). The record is from RNAcentral. Lineage: Eukaryota; Viridiplantae; Streptophyta; Magnoliopsida; Malpighiales; Euphorbiaceae.